GGGGGGAGGAGCUGCCUUGGGAGCAGCUCGCAGAGACGCAAGGGAGAUAGCUGCUUUGCAGUACUGGGAGAAGGUCAGGGGCUGCCAUUUGGCAGCUUGAGCAAGGACUGGUCAGCAAGUCAGUAACGAGAGGGAGAGAAUAGGUGCUGCCUUUGGCAGCGAGAGACUGGCGCAGCCAGAGGUUAGUCAAAGUGGGCAGCGGAAGAGAAUAAAAGAGAAUAGAGGGAAGAAGACUGGCGGGGAGACACAGGAAGAGGGUCAGGCAGGAAGAGUGGAGAAAGACUGGCAGUGUGGGCACGAACGCAGCAGAUUCUCUCGGUUUAAUCUUUCCAAACUUCUAUUUUAUUUCUAUUUUAAUAAUGUGUAAAUAAACUUAUUUUGGCUAGAGGUUUAAUUCAAAGCCAUGAAUAUAUUUGUAAUUUGAAUUGAUUGAUUACCUUCAGUUGUGAUUUCUGAGUUUGUGAUUUAAUUUGCUUAACUGCUUGAUUGAUAACUUAUUUUUGUAUGUCGAUUAAGGAUGCAUACUUAAUUUACAUGCAUGAAUUUGAUGCUAGAAUAUAAGUGAAUUUCACACCUAAUCGUUAUGAACUUAUAUUCACAAGUAGAUGAAGGUUGUUAUCCACAAUCGUGUUACGUGAAUUCUUGGCAAGAGUAUCAUGCUUUUCAUAGUUACGAAUGCCUCGUCAAUACUUAUAGUUUUCACAAAGUUUAAUGAUCUUUGAUUGUAUCUCUAUUGUGCUUUUCACGUAGGGGACUUUUGAAGAAUGUUUUGAAUUGUUGUAUGCGUGUUCCUGUCCAAUUCAAUAACUUAAGGAAAACUUGAAGAUUAAAAAAGUGAUGUUCAUGGUUAAUCUGAAGUAUUGAGAUUCACAACUUAUUGAAAGAACAACUGAAAAUCAAUUUAGCUUGCAUAUGUGUCAUGUGUGGAGAAGAACCCUCUAGCUGGUCCGUCACCUAUCCUUUUACCUUAAUUUUUAUGCUUUUGUCAAUUCUGUAAUUUAUUUAAGUUUAAUUUACUUCUCGUCAAAACCAAAACCCCCCCAUUAUUAAAUUAUAUUAUUUAGUUAGUGUUCAUUGUUGUUAGUCUUUUAAUUCAAUUUCCGUCCAUUUCAGUUCCUAGUGUCUAAUUUGAUUGUUUUCAUUAUUUUGAGUCAUUCUAAGUGUGUUUCGAGUUAUUAGAGUUUUUAGCCUAGUUUUGUGUCCUUGAGUCUUGUUUAAUAUUUUUUAAAUUAAUUUAGGAUAGAUUAGCAAUCCCUCCUAAUCCCCGGCCUAGAACGAUACCCUACUUACAUCUAUACUACAAUUGUCAAAAAGAGGGUUUAAUUUGUGUGUCAAGUAAUUCUCGCAUCAAAUUUUGGCGCCGUUGCCGGGGAUUAGCAACUUUGCUAAUCCCUUUAUUUUUGUUUUUGUUUAUGUUUAUAUUGGUGUUUGUGUAUUUUACUUUUGAUAUUUGAUUUAUUUUUCUUUCUUUGAUUUUAGGUACAAAUGGAGCAAGACAUGGCACUUGCGACCAUUCAAGCUCAAUUGGCACAGCUCACUGCUCAAUUGACUCAUAAUGCCGAACGGACCACAAUGCCAAGUGUCCCUACACUUGAUGUGCCCUAUGGGCAAGGAUAUCAAAGUCCUCAAUUUUCUGCAAAUGAAGAUGUUUGGGAAUAUCAAGGCCAUAACCAAUCAAUGGGCAACAUGUUUUCCAACGCUUGCAAUUCAGAUUGGAGAGGUAAUUCAGAUUAUAUGUGGGAUGAACCUCAACAAUUUCAACAAGGUGGAUAUUGGCAGCAAGACGAGUUCUAUUCAAGACCUAUGCAGCCACCACAACAUCCCCCACAACAAUUCCAAUCAAAUCAAAGUAUGCCCGUGAAUUAUAAUGAAAUUCUUGAAGGACUAAUUUUUGUGGCGCAGGGUUUACGAAAAGAAGAACAAUUGCUGCCAUCGGAAGAGUUCUAUCAGUGGCCAUAUGAACCGUCACAGCCACCACAACAAUCAACCCAAUUCAAUUCAGGUACAUCCUUGGAUAAUGAUACACUUAAUAAGUUACUCACCUCUUUGAAUCAGGGAGUAGAAAAUCAAAACCAGGAGAUGCAAGACCGAGUCAAAAGAGUGGACGAAUUGGAGAUGCAAGUUGGGCAGAUUGUGGAAUUCAUGGCACAGAUUCGAGAUCAAAGUGAACUUUCCAACUCAAACAUUGCAAAUUCAAAAGCAGAAAGUGAACUCGAUGAAGCCAUCACCUUGGAAGGUGACAUGAAGGAUGAAGCUGUCCCAGAACCAUCCAAACACAGCCCGAACAUGGAUGAAUUGCUGCUGCAAGCAGAAGAGGAGGAGGACGACCUGGGCAGUUUAGAAGAAUUCUUGCUGCAAGCUCCUCAAAUCCCUAUGUCAUCCAACUCAGGUGAGGAAGUUCUAAAUUCACUUCAUUCUAACAUUAUUCCACCGAAUGUCCUUUGUCCUUGCAGGUUUUUGAUUCCAAAUAUCAAAGAGAGUGAAAAAGACAUUGUGGAAGCUCUUCCAAAGGUGCAAAGUGAUAUCCUAAUUCUUGGUGCACCAAAACAAGUUCCCGAUGGUAUUGAAACGUUCAAAGAACCUUGCACACCAAGAAAAGGGAUUCAAGAAAAUGAAGUGGUUGAAGCAUAUCAAGAAUACAUCCAAGAGGGCUGUGCAUGAGACAAUCAAGCCCAAAGCAGUUGAGUUUGAUGACACGGGACAAGCCACAAAUCAUCAUAGUAAAACCUGGCCAAGUUCAAAGUCCCGGAAAUGUUCAAAAAAAGAUGUGGUGUUUGUCAUUGAGUUUGUGUCGGAAAAAGAAAGUAAGCCAUCUUCUCCAAUUUCAAUUUUAAUUUAUACUAACAUGUUUCUGAUUUUGAUGAUUCAGGCACCCACUCUUGAAUUUAAACCAUUGCCGAAUCAUUUCAAGUAUCACCUCCCAUUAAAAGAUAAAUUCCAUGCUUUGGAGCGGAGGGGAAUUUAAAGGAAAGAUUCGUCCGGCUAAAGACGUUAAAUCAAGCGCUUCUUGGGAGGCAACCCAAGCAUUUAACGAAGGGAGACUUUGGAAUCGCUAACCCAAUCAGAUUUGCAUUCUUACACCCUUAUCUUUACUGCUUUCAUUUUGUUUUGUUCAGUUAGUUGUGUUAUUUGGUUGAUUUCUGUGAGUUUGUGUUAUUUAGUUUAAGUGUGGGGGAAGGUUAACCAAAGUCUUUCUACAUUAAUUUACAUAUAUUUAAAAAAAAAAACAUUAAAAGUAAAAAAUAUUUUACAAUGAUGUGUAAACUAAUAGCUUUCAUUGGUCAGGUGGUGCUUCAGUAGUCGGCGGAGCUUCAGCAGUCGGCGGGGCCACGGAAGGAGGAGUUAUCGGAGGUUGAUCAGUUGGAGCUUCACUACGCGGUGCCGCCCCAGAAGACGAAUGCAGAUGCGGUUGGAACAAACCUACAAACCUCCGGUGAUCAAGUAAAAUCUGACCAUCAUUUUCCUGCAGCUGGUCAAUUUUCCUCUUCAUGUUUGUGGCAUAACUGUGUGCAAGCUUAUGCAAUUGUUUAUUUUCAUGCUUGAGUCCUCUAAUCUCCUCUUUGAGACUCUGUAUUUCAGCCACCAACGAUUCAACGUGACGGGUUCGGGCAAAUAGGCGUUGGGCCAUGUUGGACACGGAACCGGCACACUGCACGCUAAGAGCCAGAGACUCCUUAACCGCCAAUUCAUCAGACCGUCUAGCGAGCAGUCUGUUAUCUCUUGGGGUGACAAGGUUCCGGGCCACCACCGCAGCGGUCAUGUCAUUUUUCAUCACCGAAUCCCCAACGGUGAGAGGACCAGUAGGGGAUAUGAAAGAUGGGCGCCAUAUGUUGUCUGGUGAAGGCGGAGCUGCCUCUUCACCAAUGUUCAAGUCAAAACGACGAUCGGAAGGGCCAGACAUUUUCUGAAGGUGGUGAAGAAAGAAGAGAGUCGGACUGAUUAAGAUUUUGGAAGUUUACAGGAGGGAGUGUUUACAGGAGGGAGCUCAAGUGUGUUGUGGAACAAAAUUAACGCCUCUAUAAAAAGAAGAAAUCAAAGAGGCGCUCAUCAGAGAAGCGUCCUCUCGCAAAUCGAAGAGCCGGGGCUCCUUUCUCAAACGCCUGAUUCUUUUCUCAAAAGAGGAGUUUCCUUUCUCAAAAGCCGGAUUCUUUUCUCAAAAGAGGCGUUUCAUUUCUCAAAAAAAUGGGCUUGCUCAGAAACCACGAGCCGAAACCCGGAUUUCAAAAGAUCAAUUUGUCCAGACGUGUCGUCACUCGUCACAUGCAACUUGCAGCUUUGCGGAAAUUACGGGCAGCUUUGUCAGAAAGCACGUAAUUUGUACUAUUCAUCCAUCCACCGGCUACCGACAAUGAGUGAGAGAAUAGUUUCGGUUGUGAAGAAAAGUCCUAUAAGUAUUUACCUUCGCCUUCCACAGCAAAGGCACACCCUCUCAGCACUUCUUCAUCUCCGAGAAUGCAUUCCCAAAGAACCCUCUCGAGUCACACUGUAUUCCUCAUUCCCUGGGAUACCCCUGCAAACAACCCAUCCAGAGCAAAAGUAUUUCAUAUCAUGAAGGUUGAAAGCAAGAGUAUCUCAUAUCAUGCUUUCUCCCUGUCCUUUUCCUUGUCUUUGUUUUACGACAAGGAGAAAGAGAGCAAUCAGCCAGCAUUUGGUAUCAAUCUUCCGAUCUGGAGCCAACUGCCUGGAACCCCUUCCUGAUUGCUUACCUAGCCUUGCUCUCGAGUACUCAUCUUCAUCAUUUUAUGCUUUCUCUUCAUCUACCACAUCUGCCUGGGGGACAAUAAGGGAAGUGAAAAUGAUACCUCGAAGCAUGUGGAGACAAUUCAGCUAGGGACAAGGAGAAAGAGAGCAAGAGGUGGGCACUUGGAAAGAUUGAAGAAAGAAACAGACCAACACCUCUCCCUCGUGCCUGCCCGUUGUGCAGAAUGAACAAGCAGAGAAGAAUGCAACUCGUACAAUCAACCCAGCACAAGGAGUUCGAGCUGAAGAACUAGAGAAGCUGCCACAUCUGCUUGGAGAACAAAUAAGGAAUUGCAACAUCACCAAAGAGCAAAGCUUCGCCGUACAAUAUCAUCAAAUCAUCACUUGCAAGUAAAAAGCUAAGUGUCACCCUGUUCAAGAGGAAAGCUGUGGAAAGUCAACAAGCACGACCAAUGAUCACUUAUUAGUUCUAUUCAUUGUCUUUUAUCGUGAUUUUCAAUUUUUCGUUUGCAAUUUUUUUUUAUAUUUUCUUGUGUUACUAAACUGAAUUAUUUCUUUUCUUUGCAGGAACUUUUGGUUAUUUCCACCCUUGAAGUUGAUUGCAGAAUUUUAGCUUGGGGGGUCAUCGCUUGGUUUUACUGCAAACUAAGGAAGUUUUCAGUCCAAUUGCUUUAUGUUGUUUCUUAUUAUUUAUUUAUUUUAUUAUUAUUUUUUUUUAAUUGCAUUAUAGUGUUUUCUGACAUUGGGGACAAUGUCCAGUUUAAGUGUGGGGGUAGACAUCUCUAGAAUUUCAUUUGAGGACGUGUUGUUGUUUUUUGUUUUCUUAAUUAGUUUUGUUUUCUUUAAAAAAAAAAAAAAAAAAAAUUCGGAAAAUUUAAAAAUCCAAAAAUAUUGUCUUGUUCCUCUUAUUGUUCUGAAUUAGAUUUUUGUUAGUUUCCCGACCCAAUGAUAUAAUUGGAUCAAAUUUGAACCAUGAUCAUCAAGAACUUAGUUAACAUGUGUUUUGUGAAAUUCCUAAUUGUCUUGUUAGUUUUGUACAUGUUUGAUCAUCUUUGAAAAACCAAAUGCACAUAGCCUUGUUAAUGUGAAACUAAAGUAUGACUUAAAGCUUCAUAUGUGAAUUUAGUGACCAUAUACAUCCUAUGUGAGUUUUUGAGCCUAUUGAAAGUGUGUGCAUUUUUCAUACACUCCUAUUCUUUCAUGUGUGAUGAACUUAUGUGAGAUACAUCUCUAGAACUUGCGUAACGAUCUUUCGAAAUGUUUGUCAUUGAUUGCAUGAACUUGGAAAUGAUAGAGGCAUUAGGUUUACCACCAUGGCCCAAAUAACCAUGUUUCCCAAAGAAAAAUGAUAUCAUUAGAUUGCCAAUUUGAGCCGUGUAUGUUGAGCCUUUUAUUUCUUAUCACCAGAUAUGUCUACCCUUAUACCUGAAACAUUUUUCCUUACCCUUUCCAAGCGAGCAAUGCGAGAUUGUCCUAUGAGAUACGUUUGUGAAGUACUUUGAAGGUGUUUGGCAAAAGAAUAAGUGUGGGGGUAUUUCAUGUUUGUAUUUAAAAAAAAAAAGAAAGAUUGUAUACAAAGAAAAUAAAAAGUUUUUAAAGUUUCAGUUUAAGGGUGUGAUUGGAGGUAUCAGAAGAAUCGUUGGAGAGCUUGAGUUCUUAUAAAUCUAAACAAAAGAAUUGCUUGCAAUGUAGCUUGGAACUUGUGUUUUCCUAUUCUUUCGUUUCAAUAACCUUAUCCCUAAGCCUCAUUACAUCCAAUAAAAGUCCUCUUGAUUUAAGUUUUGCAAUUAUGAUUGUGGAGAUGAGAUCUUUAUGCAAGCUUAUGGUAGAAAUUUCACAUUUGAUUCUUUGAGCGAAACACAUUAAAACUAAACACAUGUGUGAUUGAGUGCAUAUCCCGUGAGAAGGUCGCUAGUUUGCAUAUGAUGAUUUUAAAAAUAAAAACUUGAAAUUGCAUUAGCAUGGCUAUCUCACACACUACACUUCAAGGAUGAUUAAAGAUUACUGCUAAUAUUUGAAUUAGGAAGAUGAACUUGGAUUAGUUCCUUGAUGCUAGCUAUGGUUCUUGAUGAUUUGUUUUCUUGAAUGAAAUUCUAUGAGGGUCACAUAGAGGGAAGCUAAUGUUUUUCAUGUUUUCUUUGUUUUGCUCGGGGACUAGCAAAAGUUAAGUGUGGGGGUAUUUGAUUGGAUCAUAUUUAUAUAUAUUUUUACUUCGAAUUCACUCGUCUUUUCUUAGUUAGUUCCUUAUAUUUUUGAGCUAUUUACGUUAUUUUUAUGUUUAUAGGAUUUGUUAUGCAAAGAAAAUAAAAAUAGCACAAAUGAGUUUUAAAUAAUAAACAGAAAGAAUAUUGGUUUUAUUUUUGGAUUGGGUUUUAUUUUGGUUUAUUUUGGUUUAUUUUAUAUGCAUUGAAUUGAUUGUUUCAUAGAAUAUUGGUUUUGGAUUUGUUACUUGAAUCUGCUAAUUAUAUUUGAAUUGAUAUAAUAAUGACUUUAGUUACUAUGGUUGCAUUUCUGUUGGUCUAUUGUUUCACAUUUAUAUUUGAGUAGGUGUGUAAAUGUGUGCAUGUAUUUGAAGUAGAUGAAAAUCAUGGUAUUGUUUGUGGCUUUUGUGUAGAAAAAAAUCCCUUAUAUUGAAUCUGGUGAGUAUGUGGCCUAUAAUAACGAAAAGGAGAAAACAAGUGGAGACAGCUACGGAAAAGAAACGAAAAAGGCAGAAAACGGGGGACAUGCGGGGGGAAAGAAGAAGUGAAGCAUGAGCCUCGGGGAUGGAAUAAAAAUUAAAAGGCGGAAAGGAAAUUAGGUGAGCUGGAGGAGGCUGCCUUUGGCAGCUGGAGGAAAAGAGGGACACGACAUAAUUAAGCAGGGAAUAAAAUAUGAAGACAAAAAGGGAAUCCAGGGUGAAAACGUGAGGGGGGAAAGCAAGUGUGAACGGGGGGGGGAGGAGCUGCCUUGGGAGCAGCUCGCAGAGACGCAAGGGAGAUAGCUGCUUUGCAGUACUGGGAGAAGGUCAGGGGCUGCCAUUUGGCAGCUUGAGCAAGGACUGGUCAGCAAGUCAGUAACGAGAGGGAGAGAAUAGGUGCUGCCUUUGGCAGCGAGAGACUGGCGCAGCCAGAGGUUAGUCAAAGUGGGCAGCGGAAGAGAAUAAAAGAGAAUAGAGGGAAGAAGACUGGCGGGGAGACACAGGAAGAGGGUCAGGCAGGAAGAGUGGAGAAAGACUGGCAGUGUGGGCACGAACGCAACAGAUUCUCUCGGUUUAAUCUUUCCAAACUUCUAUUUUAUUUCUAUUUUAAUAAUGUGUAAAUAAACUUAUUUUGGCUAGAGGUUAAUUCAAAGCCAUGAAUAUAUUUGUAAUUUGAAUUGAUUACCUUCAGUUGUGAUUUCUGAGUUGUGAUUUAAUUUGCUUAACUGCUUG
Molecule: long non-coding RNA, 8113 nt
Filed under: Malus domestica (apple)
Lineage: Eukaryota; Viridiplantae; Streptophyta; Magnoliopsida; Rosales; Rosaceae
Description: long non-coding RNA (MDOM_LNC017896)
Source: RNAcentral